Molecule: long non-coding RNA, 262 nt
Filed under: Mytilus galloprovincialis (Mediterranean mussel)
Lineage: Eukaryota; Metazoa; Mollusca; Bivalvia; Mytilida; Mytilidae
Source: RNAcentral
CAAAAGGAAUAGUUGACCUUUAAAUUUCAUGUUAAAUCUAACAAAAGAAAUUCUGUUCAGUGGGGCAUAAGUGAGUAGAAUUUACCUGAUCAUCACAGCUUUCACAUCAUGGUGAACAAUAAAUUUUAGAUUUAGUCAGAUAAGCAGCAAACUGGGCAUGUGCAUAUUAAAUUAAGUACAUCAAUUGGUGCAUCAACUGUUGCAGGUUACUGCCAUAAUAAGUAGAAAAUGUCAUUCUGCCCUAUUUUGAUUUAAAUCCAGU